UCGUGGCUGCUUUCCAAACCCU
Molecule: microRNA, 22 nt
Filed under: Oreochromis niloticus (Nile tilapia)
Lineage: Eukaryota; Metazoa; Chordata; Actinopteri; Cichliformes; Cichlidae
Description: oni-miR-10796
Source: miRBase by way of RNAcentral